Molecule: non-coding RNA, 22 nt
Filed under: Arabidopsis thaliana (thale cress)
Lineage: Eukaryota; Viridiplantae; Streptophyta; Magnoliopsida; Brassicales; Brassicaceae
Source: RNAcentral
UGGUCAGGACAUUGGACUCUGA